CUAAAAUUAACUAAUCUCCACCACGCUUUAACCUCUUCUCUUUCAUUUCUAACCUAACAGUCGUUUAAAUGUGUUUUUUAUGCAGUGGUCAAUCAGUGAUUAAUUAUAUUGCAAAGAAUUAUUUAUUAGAGAAUUUCUAAUAAUAACUUUCUUGCUUGAUUAUUAUAUAUUCCAAAUUUAUUAUAAUUAUUGCAAAAGGAUUUAAGGAUAUACAUACGCAUACACAUUUAUAAAAAAUUAUAAUGGGGAAAAAUAAGAGAACACGUAGAGUUGUGAUGCAGAGAUUUGCUCAAAUGAAAAAGAUGAUUAGUUUAAGCGAUUCGCGAAUAAAUCCAGAGAAGCGGCUUCCAUCGAAGAAAACUCCUAAAGAAGAUAAGACUAAAAUAAAAAUCACAGAAGUGCCACAGCAAUCCUCUGCAUUAUUCUUUCAAUAUAACAUGCAACUUGGACCACCGUACCAUAUUUUAAUUGAUACCAACUUUAUUAAUUUCUCUAUUAAAAAUAAAUUAGAUAUAAUACAAAACAUGAUGGAAUGCCUUUAUGCAAAAUGUACGCCAUACAUAACGGAUUGUGUAAUGGGUGAAUUGGAGAAGCUUGGACAAAAGUAUAAAUUAGCGUUGAAAAUCAUUAAGGAUCCGCGAUUUGAAAGAUUAAAAUGUAUGCAUAAGGGAACCUAUGCAGAUGAUUGUCUAGUGAAUAGAGUGACACAGCACAAAUGUUAUAUUGUUGCGACCAAUGAUAGAGAUUUGAAACGAAGAAUACGGAAGAUCCCGGGUGUCCCAAUAAUGUAUAUAUCUCAACAUAGAUUUACGAUAGAAAGAAUGCCAGAUGCUUAUGGCGCACCCAAGAAAUAAGGAUAUAAUUUAUUGAAAAAAUAAAUUUGUGUGUCAAAAUCAAGGAAGAAUAAUUACUGAAGUACAAAUAGAGGAAAAUUCCAGAAACUAUAUAAAUGCAAAAUGCACUCAAUGGCAGAAGUGAGGUCUAAAGUUUAUUAGUCGUAUAUGCUGAAAUCAUAUCCACUCUUAUGGGACAACAAUAAAAAGGUGGAUUAUGAAUAUGGUUUAUAGAUAUGGACGAAAAUUAGAAGAUGGAUUUUAAGUGGCUGGAAAUCAUAAUACGUAAAUCAUCGUAGAUAUGGUUGAACACAAGGCUUAAGAAUUAUCUUUUUAUACUAAAAAAAGAAAAUGUUAAAACACUGGCAAUAAAAUGGAGAACAAUAAUAAAUAAAUAGACGUCUAUUAAAUGUUUAUUUGAUACCAUUGACAUCUAAUUGAAUCAAUCCGAUUUGUUUGUUCUUUCUGUGGAGUGGGCAAUGAAAAAUCUAGUUUUUGAACUUGGGUCUAUUUGCAACAAUAACCAUUGUUCGUCUUGUUAAGCACGUUGGUGUUCAAGAAACUUUAUGUUUGCAAUUAUAAUAAAAUAUAUUUCUGAAAUAGAA
This is an RNA transcript of Solenopsis invicta (red fire ant), 1438 nucleotides long. It is a transcript of the gene named rRNA-processing protein FCF1 homolog, with no coding region annotated. Lineage: Eukaryota; Metazoa; Arthropoda; Insecta; Hymenoptera; Formicidae. The record is from RefSeq and is a predicted model, not a curated record. The transcript is spliced from 7 exons.